AAAAGAAGGUGAGAUAUAAGUCUGCCUUUAAAGCUAUUGACGCCAUUAAAAUAAAAUUUAAAAAAAUUGACGGAGUGCUGCGAAACACUCUCAGUGAUUACUCGAAAAUGAACCGUUACGUGAUAUUCUUCGCUCUUACCGUCCUUCUUCUAGUGGAUUUAGUUGAGAUGAAAAAAUACUACGGAGGGGGUGGAGUUGAAUACGGAAAAGGUAAAUACUAUAAAGGAAAAUAUGACGAUGGCAAGUACUACAAAGGAAAAUAUGAAGGAGGCAAAUCAAAAUAUGACGAUGGAAAAUACUACAAAGGAAAAUAUGAUUAUGGCAAAAAGUAUGAUUACGGCAAAUACUACAAAGGAAAGUAUGACUAUGGCAAAUACGGCAAGGGACAAUAUUGAGGAAGAAUGUAAAUUUGAUUGAAAUACUAAUUAAAAAGUUAUUAAAGAUUUUAUGACAAGA
This is a long non-coding RNA of Uloborus diversus, 456 nucleotides long. RefSeq lists it as uncharacterized. Lineage: Eukaryota; Metazoa; Arthropoda; Arachnida; Araneae; Uloboridae. The record is from RefSeq and is a predicted model, not a curated record. The transcript has 2 exons.